RNAcentral lists this non-coding RNA (23 nucleotides) under Arabidopsis thaliana (thale cress). The record is from RNAcentral. Lineage: Eukaryota; Viridiplantae; Streptophyta; Magnoliopsida; Brassicales; Brassicaceae.
UCCGAAAGGGCGUGGGUUCAAAU